CUGGCGGGCGGCGCGCUGGGAGAUUUUCCUCUGUCCAACCCGACUCGGAGGGUGCAAGCAAUCCCAGAGCAGCAAAAGUGAAACAAAAAGAGCUUGAUGGUUGGUGCUGCCCAUGUCUCUGGAAUAAGCAUUGGAACAGUCCAUGAGAGGAAGGCAUCCUUCCACAGGGUGGCAGUUCUGUCUACAUGUGGCUGAGGAAACUGGCUUGGAAGUGUGGAUGAAAGAAAUUUGGAAGCAAGUCAAGAGAGAACAAAAUAUCUUUUCCAAGAGGAAAGCGUGGUUGUUUGCUUUGAUGUCAUUUUGUCAGGUGCAGACUAUUUCUUGGUCUUUCCAGCAGUACUGUAUUACUUUUCUAGAAGAGGAACUCCCGGUGAUUUAAAGCUCUCAGUCUAACACUAUUGA
This is a long non-coding RNA of Talpa occidentalis (Iberian mole), 402 nucleotides long. RefSeq lists it as uncharacterized. Lineage: Eukaryota; Metazoa; Chordata; Mammalia; Eulipotyphla; Talpidae. The record is from RefSeq and is a predicted model, not a curated record. The transcript is spliced from 4 exons.